This 253-nucleotide ribosomal RNA is filed under the name uncultured bacterium. RNAcentral describes it as "partial 16S ribosomal RNA". It matches the Rfam family "Bacterial small subunit ribosomal RNA", at positions 524 to 776 of the family's 1533-position model. The record is from RNAcentral.
UACGUAGGGUGCGAGCGUUAAUCGGAAUUACUGGGCGUAAAGCGUGCGCAGGCGGUUUUGUAAGCCAGGUGUGAAAUCCCCGGGCUUAACCUGGGAAUGGCAUUUGGGACUGCAAGGCUUGAGUGCGGCAGAGGAGACUAGAAUUCCUGGUGUAGCAGUGAAAUGCGUAGAUAUCAGGAGGAAUACCGAUGGCGAAGGCAGGCCUCUGGGCUGACACUGACGCUCAUGCACGAAAGCGUGGGGAGCAAACAGG